AGAGUUUGAUCAUGGCUCAGAUUGAACGCUGGCGGAAUGCUUUACACAUGCAAGUCGAACGGCAGCACGGGGCAACCUGGUGGCGAGUGGCGAACGGGUGAGUAAUACAUCGGAACGUGCCCAAUCGUGGGGGAUAACGUAGCGAAAGUUACGCUAAUACCGCAUACGAUCUACGGAUGAAAGCGGGGGAUCGCAAGACCUCGCGCGAGUGGAGCGGCCGAUGUCAGAUUAGGUAGUUGGUGGGGUAAAGGCUCACCAAGCCAACGAUCUGUAGCUGGGUCUGAGAGGACGACCAGCCACACUGGAACUGAGACACGGUCCAGACUCCUACGGGAGGCAGCAGUGGGGAAUUUUGGACAAUGGGCGCAAGCCUGAUCCAGCCAUUCCGCGUGCAGGAUGAAGGCCUUCGGGUUGUAAACUGCUUUUGUACGGAACGAAACGGCGAGCUCUAAUACAGUUUGCUAAUGACGGUACCGUAAGAACAAGCACCGGCUAACUACGUG
RNAcentral lists this ribosomal RNA (503 nucleotides) under uncultured bacterium. Its description in RNAcentral is "bacterial SSU rRNA". It matches the Rfam family "Bacterial small subunit ribosomal RNA", at positions 8 to 507 of the family's 1533-position model. The record is from RNAcentral.